GCCGAGGUAGCUCAGGUGGUAGAGCAGUGGACUGAAAAUCCAUGUGUCGGCGGUUCGACUCCGCCCCUCGGCA
RNAcentral lists this transfer RNA (73 nucleotides) under Chloroflexota bacterium. RNAcentral's name for it is "Chloroflexi bacterium (sediment metagenome) tRNA-Phe". It matches the Rfam family "tRNA". Rfam says of the family: Transfer RNA (tRNA) molecules are approximately 80 nucleotides in length. Their secondary structure includes four short double-helical elements and three loops (D, anti-codon, and T loops). Lineage: Bacteria; Bacillati; Chloroflexota. The record is from RNAcentral.